UGGGAACGUACCUUUCGGUUCGGAAUAACCCGGGAAACUCGGGCUAAUACCGGAUACGUCCGCAAGGAGAAAGAUUUAUCGCCGAAAGAUCGGCCCGCGUCGGAUUAGCUAGUUGGUGAGGUAACGGCCCACCAAGGCGACGACGGGUAGCCGGCCUGAGAGGGUGACCGGCCACACUGGGACUGAGACACGGCCCAGACUCCUACGGGAGGCAG
This 215-nucleotide ribosomal RNA is filed under the name uncultured bacterium. Its description in RNAcentral is "partial 16S ribosomal RNA". It matches the Rfam family "Bacterial small subunit ribosomal RNA", at positions 118 to 351 of the family's 1533-position model. The record is from RNAcentral.